UCCCAUAACGAGCGCAACCCCUACCUGCUAGUUGCCAGCGGGUCGAUGCCGGGGACUCUAGCGGAACUAGCCAGCGUAAGGCUGCGAGGAAGGUGGGGAUGACGUCAAAUCAGCACGGCCCUUACGUCCAGGGCUACACACGUGUUACAAUGGCCAGUACAGAGGGCAGCCACCCGCGAGGGGGCGCUAAUCCUAAAAGCUGGUCCCAGUUCGGAUCGGAGUCUGCAACCCGACUCCGUGAAGCUGGAUUCGCUAGUAAUCGCGCAUCAGCCACGGCGCGGUGAAUACGUUCCCGGGCCUU
RNAcentral lists this ribosomal RNA (301 nucleotides) under uncultured Rikenellaceae bacterium. RNAcentral describes it as "bacterial SSU rRNA". It matches the Rfam family "Bacterial small subunit ribosomal RNA", at positions 1085 to 1382 of the family's 1533-position model. Lineage: Bacteria; Pseudomonadati; Bacteroidota; Bacteroidia; Bacteroidales; Rikenellaceae. The record is from RNAcentral.